GGAUGUGAGGUGAAUCUGGUUGCAACAUCUGUUCACCCAUUGAUCAUUAGGGUUGAUCAUGCUUAUCUGGAUGGCUGGGAAUAUGCCCUUUUCCCUCACUGCUACAUGUGCAUUUCUCCAAAAUCUGCAUGCUGUGUCAGAGGACAACCUUUCCCAGUAGAGGAGACAAUUCUUGGGUCAAGUAGCCACACUCUCUUGCUAGAACCUCCACACAGGCUCUCAAAAUUAGUCUACAUCAGAACAAAUUUCCUAAUCUACAUACCAUGUGCAGUAGAUAAAUGAGAAACACUCAGAUUUUGCUUAAAUCUGUGCUACUCUAU
Molecule: unclassified non-coding RNA, 320 nt
Organism: Dipodomys ordii (Ord's kangaroo rat)
Lineage: Eukaryota; Metazoa; Chordata; Mammalia; Rodentia; Heteromyidae
Gene: 7SK
Rfam family: 7SK RNA
About the family: 7SK was discovered as an abundant small nuclear RNA in the mid-70s but a possible function has only recently been suggested. Two independent studies have found that 7SK RNA binds the CDK9/cyclin T complex (known as elongation factor P-TEFb). P-TEFb activates transcription by phosphorylating the C-terminal domain of RNA polymerase II.
Source: Ensembl